This 465-nucleotide ribosomal RNA is filed under the name uncultured bacterium. RNAcentral describes it as "partial 16S ribosomal RNA". It matches the Rfam family "Bacterial small subunit ribosomal RNA", at positions 28 to 507 of the family's 1533-position model. The record is from RNAcentral.
GACGAACGCUGGCGGCGUGCUUAACACAUGCAAGUCGAACGGAAAGGCCCUGCUUGCAGGGUACUCGAGUGGCGAACGGGUGAGUAACACGUGGGUGAUCUGCCCUGCACUUCGGGAUAAGCCUGGGCAACUGGGUCUAAUACCGGAUAGGAGCCAUUUUUAGUGUGAUGGUUGGAAAGUUUUUUCGGUGUAGGAUGAGCUCGCGGCCUAUCAGCUUGUUGGUGGGGUAAUGGCCUACCAAGGCGGCGACGGGUAGCCGGCCUGAGAGGGUGGACGGCCACAUUGGGACUGAGAUACGGCCCAGACUCCUACGGGAGGCAGCAGUGGGGAAGAUUGCACAAUGGGCGCAAGCCUGAUGCAGCGACGCCGCGUGGGGGAUGACGGCCUUCGGGUUGUAAACUCCUUUCGCUAGGGACGAAGCUUUUUGUGACGGUACCUAGAUAAGAAGCACCGGCUAACUACGUG